GGCGCAGCCUGAUGCAGCCAUGCCGCGUGUAUGAAGAAGGCCUUCGGGUUGUAAAGUACUUUCAGUUGUGAGGAAGGGGGUGACGUUAAUAGCGGUAUCUCUUGACGUUAGCAACAGAAGAAGCACCGGCUAACUCCGUGCCAGCAGCCGCGGUAAUACGGAGGGUGCGAGCGUUAAUCGGAAUUACUGGGCGUAAAGCGCAUGCAGGUGGUUCAUUAAGUCAGAUGUGAAAGCCCGGGGCUCAACCUCGGAACUGCAUUUGAAACUGGUGAACUAGAGUGCUGUAGAGGGGGGUAGAAUUUCAGGUGUAGCGGUGAAAUGCGUAGAGAUCUGAAGGAAUACCAGUGGCGAAGGCGGCCCCCUGGACAGACACUGACACUCAGAUGCGAAAGCGUGGGGAGCAAACAGGAUUAGAUACCCUGGUAGUCCACGCCGUAAACGAUGUCUACUUGGAGGUUGUGGCCUUGAGCCGUGGCUUUCGGAGCUAACGCGUUAAGUAGACCGCCUGGGGAGUACGGUCGCAAGAUUAAAACUCAAAUGAAUUGACGGGGGCCCGCACAAGCGGUGGAGCAUGUGGUUUAAUUCG
RNAcentral lists this ribosomal RNA (586 nucleotides) under Vibrio sp. V-RA-2. Its description in RNAcentral is "bacterial SSU rRNA". It matches the Rfam family "Bacterial small subunit ribosomal RNA", at positions 374 to 953 of the family's 1533-position model. The record is from RNAcentral. Lineage: Bacteria; Pseudomonadati; Pseudomonadota; Gammaproteobacteria; Vibrionales; Vibrionaceae.